RNAcentral lists this ribosomal RNA (776 nucleotides) under Aglenchus agricola. RNAcentral describes it as "partial large subunit ribosomal RNA". It matches the Rfam family "Eukaryotic large subunit ribosomal RNA", at positions 343 to 966 of the family's 3401-position model. The record is from RNAcentral. Lineage: Eukaryota; Metazoa; Nematoda; Chromadorea; Rhabditida; Tylenchidae.
UACAAGUACCCCUGAGGGAAAGUUGCAAAGCACUUUGAAGAGAGAGUUAAAGAGGACGUGAAACCGAUAAGGUGGAAACGGAUAGAGCCAACGUAUCUGGCUUGUAUUCAGCUGUCAUCAGGGUUCUGACUUGUCUGGCAAUCCCGCUUCUGGUUGUCCAUGGCGAGUUGUUGGGCUCUGGUGGUAGUGCAUUUGCAAGUGGAGUGCGCUGAGGUGUGUGGUGUAGCGAUUCGAUCUUCGCCUUGAGGACACUUGACUGUGAACCCCGGGCGUUGGGAAAAUUGUCUAUGCUGCAUUCCCGCCAAUGGGGAGGCGCUUGUGGAUUGGAGCUUGAUCGCGGGGAUUGCUUGUAACGGCCGCAUGCGACGCGUGCUCGUUGUCUUCGCGUUUGAGUGAGAUCCCCUCUCCGGUGAUCUCGGUGUAAAAGUUGGUCAUCUAUCCGACCCGUCUUGAAACACGGACCAAGGAGUUUAGCGUAUGCGCGAGUCAUUGAGUGUUGAAACUCAAAGGCGUAAUGAAAGUGAAUCGAAAGUGAUAUGCGAUCCCUAGCACUUCGGUGGUUGGGAGCAGCAUAGCCCCGUUCCAAUCGCUUGCGAUGGGGCGGAGGUAGAGCGUAUUCGCUGAGACCCGAAAGAUGGUGAACUAUUCCUGAGCAGGAUGAAGCCAGAGGAAACUCUGGUGGAAGUCCGAAGCGUCUGACGUGCAAAUCGAUCGUCUGACUUGGUAUAGGGGCGAAAAGACUAAUCGAACCAUCUAGUAGCUGUGUCCUUCCGAUG